GUUCAUUAACUGCACGGUGGCCAGGAACAUUCAGGAAUCCACCAGACCGGAAGGUUCCAGAAUCACCGAGUUAUACUUCAGUUUCAAGGAUCAAAAAACUCAGUGAGAACACACCCCCAUACACCCAUGGAAGCACAGACUUAGGGUAAGUAGUCAACCUCAGUGAGCUAGCAAAGAUAAAACCAGUCCCAGACCACGGGCCCUUCAGCCCAUGCCCGUCCAUCUGAGGACACGGGUUUUCAGAAGGACCUUUUGGUGCCUACGCAGGUGGCCUCACUGAGCAACAGCUUUGCCCAGAUCAGUUUCCUGUGACUUCAUUUUAGUGCUGUUUGAUGACACUGGUGCUAGAGCAUCCAUGUGGCUCUGUGACUUGAUCAUCCUGAGGCGACUAGGAGCCGAGGGCAAGGGAAAACAGGUGAGAAGAGCAAAAUGAGAGGGUGAAUGAAACUAGGAAAGGAGAAAAACAGAGACCAGGAGAGAAAACAGCAUUACAUGAUUUCUGCAUGAAGUAGGACUCUUUGGGUUCUAAAAGAUAAAAUAAUAAUAAUAAUUCUCGAGAUGGCUUUAGGGGAAAAAAAAGUUGGGAGUACCAGGAGAGGCUAGCUGAAAUUAAAAGUUCAAGGAGCUUCAGGUACAGCUGGAUCCAGGUGAUUAUACCAGGUCCCAACUGUGUCUCCCUGUCUGUCUCUUGGCUCUAGUUUUUCUCUGCAUUAACUCUGUUCCCAGGCAGGCAGAAAAGUGACUAAUCAGGAGGCAGUUUCCAAACCUCUCAGUACCUCCAGGGACAGAAUCAUUCUUCCCCCUAACCACUCAAACAAAAGACUUGGGAUUGAGUCUCUUUGGGUCAAUCUAUGCAGAUUGCUUGGUCUGAUGUCUACCUCCAGAGUCAAGAGAAAACCUCGAGGACUAGAAGUGAGGCAAAUCUACUGCCCAAAACAUGAUUCUUUGUCACCUAAGAAGACAAGAUGGAUACAGGACCGGGAAGAGAAGAGAUCAAGAGGGCACAACUUUUCCAGAUGACUUCAUAUGCGGGGAGCGGGGGCUUUCAGAGCCCACGACGUGGCUCCCUCGUGCACACCCACCCGGCACAUGUGCUCCCCUGGUUCGCAGGCCCCAGGGCGGGGGAGGUGAGCGUGGCACCCAUCUACCCUGGCACUGCACACACACACUCCAAGGAUGCCGCACGCUUGCCGAGAGGUUCAAGCAGGGAGCAGAACCCAGCGUGGCCCUGACUCUGUUCCCGGCCCUGGUCAGGUCUCCAUGAUUGACAUCUAAUCCUGAAGAACCUGGCAGGUCCCUCCCCCUCCUCCCUUGUCCCCUCUUCUAUGCACACCCAAGGUGCUUGGAAGAGAUAAGGAGUCUCUAAGAGCGUAGAAGGCCCCAGGUGUGCAGGUGGGCGGCUCUGGGGUGCUGUGGGACGUGAAGGACGUGCAGCUUUUGAAGCAAUGCUGGGCCCUUGUCAGAGCAGAUAACUGCCCGUCCAGACAGAAAGCAAAUCAAUAACUGGUGAGGCCCGGGUUUCCCGUCAGACAGGCGCUGCCCACGCCAAGGUCCUCUCGGGCUCCCUGUUGCACUUCUGCUGAGGGAAGGGUGAGGUGGAGAAGAGCCAGAGACACGAGCAUGGAAGGGGGUCUGCAGCGGGGCUUUGGGACCCACUUUAUGCCACGUCGUCAGGAAUGAGCACAGGGUAAGACCCAGCAGCCUUCUGGGUGGGGGGGAGGUCCUUCGCUGCCCCGGUCCCAGAGAGCUCAGGCUGCAGCCACAGAUAAACCAACUGCUAGAGAGUAAACAAGAGGCCACAGCAGCUUAAGAGCUACACACCUGGUCUCGUGUUUCAGAGUUGACCAGCUGCUGAGCUCAAGGACAGUUUCAAGGACACAGGGACCCUUGGUCCAGCUGGGACCCAACACCAAAGCCAUUUCCAAAAUCACACAGUAGCCCUGGCCAAAGGGGAGUCCCACAGCUCUCCUGACCCACCCAGCAGAGACGGCCCCAGGGAGAAGGUGGCCUCCUCCGGCCCGUGGUGCCACCUGGGCAUGUGAGCGGGACCACGCAUUCACUGAGGAAGAUCCGCGACGGGUGCCAGGCUGGGUUCCUUCUCUGAUUCUCACCUGGAAACCAAGACACACCCAGGGGCCCGAGCAUCCUGCCGCAGGACCUGGCCCAACAUGCAAUCCUUCCUGCAGAUGACCUUGUAGGUGGCUGGGAAGGUCAUGGUGCUCUUGGAGCACCAGCUGGGUGUGUGUGCACCCUAGGGCAGGGACCCCCACUGCUCUGCUGCACUGAGGCACUGGCCCUCGCCCUGGGCUCCGGCUGUGGUGUAGCUCACUGUGUGUGUGUGGCCACCAGCAGGGCCCCUGUGAGGUGCAUGUGGCUGCACAGGAGGCCUCUGGGAGGGGUAGUUACCAAGACACUCACCGUGUGGAAGUGUACCCCACAGUAAUUUGCAUGGGUUACAGCUCAACCGCAUGUUAGUCAUUCGUCGAUCUCAACUUUCUGUAUUUGUGUUAUAUUCAAUAUAAAAAAUUUUUAAAACACAUGAGCAUUUAGGGCUUCGGUACCACGUUCUCCCUGUUCCUGUGCCCUGCGUGAGUGGCCAGUGUCUUGCUCUGGUCUGUUCAGCCUUAGGGUCAACCUCAGGCAGCCGUGGAGUCGGGGGUCCUCCGCUGGGUGCCGCAUGGCUGGCUUGGG
RNAcentral lists this long non-coding RNA (2691 nucleotides) under Marmota monax (woodchuck). Lineage: Eukaryota; Metazoa; Chordata; Mammalia; Rodentia; Sciuridae. The record is from RNAcentral.